GGUUGUGGCUCAGUGGUAGAGCGCUUGCCUCCAACACAUGAGGCCCUGGGUUCAAUCCUCAGCAUCA
RNAcentral lists this transfer RNA (67 nucleotides) under Marmota monax (woodchuck). Its description in RNAcentral is "tRNA.Trp". It matches the Rfam family "tRNA", at positions 6 to 65 of the family's 71-position model. Rfam says of the family: Transfer RNA (tRNA) molecules are approximately 80 nucleotides in length. Their secondary structure includes four short double-helical elements and three loops (D, anti-codon, and T loops). Further hydrogen bonds mediate the characteristic L-shaped molecular structure. tRNAs have two regions of fundamental functional importance: the anti-codon, which is responsible for specific mRNA codon recognition, and the 3' end, to which the tRNAs corresponding amino acid is attached (by aminoacyl-tRNA synthetases). tRNAs cope with the degeneracy of the genetic code in two manners: having more than one tRNA (with a specific anti-codon) for a particular amino acid; and 'wobble' base-pairing, i.e. permitting non-standard base-pairing at the 3rd anti-codon position. The record is from RNAcentral. Lineage: Eukaryota; Metazoa; Chordata; Mammalia; Rodentia; Sciuridae.